This 397-nucleotide ribosomal RNA is filed under the name uncultured bacterium. RNAcentral describes it as "bacterial SSU rRNA". It matches the Rfam family "Bacterial small subunit ribosomal RNA", at positions 30 to 428 of the family's 1533-position model. The record is from RNAcentral.
AUUGAACGCUGGCGGCAUGCCUUACACAUGCAAGUCGAACGGCAGCGCGGGGCAACCUGGCGGCGAGUGGCGAACGGGUGAGUAACAUAUCGGAACAUACCCUAGAGUGGGGGAUAACGUAGCGAAAGUUACGCUAAUACCGCAUACGCACUAAGGUGGAAAGUGGGGGAUCUUCGGACCUCAUGCUCAUGGAGUGGCCGAUAUCUGAUUAGCUAGUUGGUGAGGUAAAGGCUCACCAAGGCGACGAUCAGUAGCUGGUUUGAGAGAACGACCAGCCACACUGGAACUGAGACACGGUCCAGACUCCUACGGGAGGCAGCAGUGGGGAAUUUUGGGACAAUGGGGGGCAACCCUGAUCCAGCAAUGCCGCGUGAGUGAAGAAGGCCUCGGGUUGUAA